AUUGAACGCUGGCGGCAUGCCUUACACAUGCAAGUCGAACGGUAACAGGGUGCUUGCACCGCUGACGAGUGGCGAACGGGUGAGUAAUGCGUCGGAACGUGCCGAGUAGUGGGGGAUAACGCAGCGGAAGUUGUGCUAAUACCGCAUACGUACUGAGGUAGAAAGUGGGGGACCUUCGGGCCUCACGCUAUUCGAGCGGCCGACGUCUGAUUAGCGAGUAGGUGAGGUAAAGGCUCACCUAGGCGACGAUCAGUAGCGGGUCUGAGAGGAUGAUCCGCCACACUGGGACUGAGACACGGCCCAGACUCCUACGGGAGGCAGCAGUGGGGAAUUUUGGACAAUGGGCGAAAGCCUGAUCCAGCCAUGCCGCGUGUCUGAAGAAGGCCUUCGGGUUGUAAAGGACUUUUGUCAGGGAGGAAAUCCCUAGUGCUAAUAACACUGGGGGAUGACAGUACCUGAAGAAUAAGCACCGGCUAACUACGUGCCAGCCGCCGCGGUAA
This 500-nucleotide ribosomal RNA is filed under the name uncultured bacterium. RNAcentral's name for it is "partial 16S ribosomal RNA". It matches the Rfam family "Bacterial small subunit ribosomal RNA", at positions 30 to 523 of the family's 1533-position model. The record is from RNAcentral.